RNAcentral lists this ribosomal RNA (301 nucleotides) under uncultured bacterium. RNAcentral describes it as "partial 16S ribosomal RNA". It matches the Rfam family "Bacterial small subunit ribosomal RNA", at positions 509 to 807 of the family's 1533-position model. The record is from RNAcentral.
CAGUAGCCGCGGUAAAACGUAGGGUGCGAGCGUUAAUCGGAAUUACUGGGCGUAAAGCGUGCGUAGGCGGUGAGUUAAGUCUGCUGUGAAAUCCCCGGGCUCAACCUGGGAAUGGCAGUGGAUACUGGCUCGCUAGAGUGUGUCAGAGGAUGGUGGAAUUCCCGGUGUAGCGGUGAAAUGCGUAGAGAUCGGGAGGAACAUCAGUGGCGAAGGCGGCCAUCUGGGACAACACUGACGCUGAGGCACGAAAGCGUGGGGAGCAAACAGGAUUAGAUACCCCCGUAGUCCCUGUCUCUUAUAC